GAUACGGUUAACGGAGCGAAAGCGACGUUCAACCGCAAAAGAAGCAGAGGGGGCUUAGUGGUGGGGUGACUGCGUACCUUUUGUAUAAUGGGUCAGCGACUUAUAUUCUGUAGCAAGGUUAACCGAAUAGGGGAGCCGGAGGGAAACCGAGUCUUAACCGGGCGUUAAGUUGCAGGGUAUAGACCCGAAACCCGGUGAUCUAGCCAUGGGCAGGUUGAAGGUUGGGUAACACUAACUGGAGGACCGAACCGACUAAUGUUGAAAAAUUAGCGGAUGACCUGUGGCUGGGGGUGAAAGGCCAAUCAAACCGGGAGAUAGCUGGUUCUCCCCGAAAGCUAUUUAGGUAGCGCCUCGUGAAUUCAUCUCCGGGGGUAGAGCACUGUUUCGGCUAGGGGGCCAUCCCGGCUUACCAACCCGAUGCAAACUGCGAAUACCGGAGAAUGUUAUCACGGGAGACACACGGCGGGUGCUAACGUCCGUCGUGAAGAGGGAAACAACCCAGACCGCCAGCUAAGGUCCCAAAGUCAUGGUUAAGUGGGAAACGAUGUGGGAAGGCCCAGACAGCCAGGAUGUUGGCUUAGAAGCAGCCAUCAUUUAAAGAAAGCGUAAUAGCUCACUGGUCGAGUCGGCCUGCGCGGAAGAUGUAACGGGGCUAAACCAUGCACCGAAGCUGCGGCAGCGACGCUUAUGCGU
This 693-nucleotide ribosomal RNA is filed under the name Salmonella enterica. RNAcentral describes it as "partial 23S ribosomal RNA". It matches the Rfam family "Bacterial large subunit ribosomal RNA", at positions 568 to 1221 of the family's 2925-position model. The record is from RNAcentral. Lineage: Bacteria; Pseudomonadati; Pseudomonadota; Gammaproteobacteria; Enterobacterales; Enterobacteriaceae.